GCAAAUCUCUUAAAGCCGUUCUCAGUUCGGAUUGUAGGCUGCAACUCGCCUACAUGAAGUCGGAAUCGCUAGUAAUCGCGGAUCAGCAUGCCGCGGCGAAUACGUUCCCGGGCCUUGUACACACCGCCCGUCACACCAUGAGAGUUUGUAACACCCAAAGCCGGUGGGGUAACCUUUUGGAGCCAGCCGUCUAAGGUGGGACAGAUGAUUGGGGUGAAGUCGUAACAAGGUAUC
This 234-nucleotide ribosomal RNA is filed under the name uncultured bacterium. RNAcentral's name for it is "partial 16S ribosomal RNA". It matches the Rfam family "Bacterial small subunit ribosomal RNA", at positions 1267 to 1500 of the family's 1533-position model. The record is from RNAcentral.